This is a long non-coding RNA of Equus caballus (horse), 1814 nucleotides long. Lineage: Eukaryota; Metazoa; Chordata; Mammalia; Perissodactyla; Equidae. The record is from Ensembl.
UGACUAAGGGUAAAUAGCAUUCAAAUAGAUGGUGAAGGAGCAGGUGGUGGGAAGAGACCAUUUCAAGUGGGCAAAACAAGGCCCACCUAGGUUUCUAAAUUCUGAUAUAAUUAACUCCCCGUUACCUCAGGGCUUGCCCCUAACGGUGGUAAUGGAGCACAGGGGAAGUUCUUAAAUGAUGGCAACUGCUGGCCCAGCCUAAUAGCCUACACAUGAGAGAGAUUACAACUGCCAGUCUCACCAGUUCACAGGUGAGGACAUGGAAGAAUGAGUGGGAAGGAGGAGUCAAGGCCUUGGUGAUUUCCACCUCCACGUGGUCUGGACCACAUUCUUCCCUAGAAGUGUUGCUUCCCUCUGCAUAUCACAGUCUGCCGUAACUGGAGAAAAGGAGAACACAGCAGAUCAGGUUAAUCACCUGGAAGACUGGGAAAUCCAAAUUCACUCCAGCCCACGCAAGCUAGGUAACUGCACCAGUCAGACCUGUUGGGGAUCCAGGGACCAGCCUGCACAUCGAUGUGUGGCAACCAGAGAGUUUUGUUUCUCUUUAGUGAUUAUCUAUGUGACCAUCAAGUGGAGAAAGAUAUCACUGGUGUCAGCUAAGAAGUGGAGAGCUAAUGCAUUAAGCUUCAUUCUGCAGCCAGUUGAGGGGGACGGCAAGCCCAAGGAAUAAAGAAUGCAGUGGGGGCGCUAAAGAAGAAGCGGAAGUCUGCUAAGUCAUUGGCACUUGCUUCAGAGAAAGAGAGCUCGAGAUGCCAGACUGGGCCCUAGAGGGAGAAGGGCCUGUGUUUGAUUUUUGGAUGACAAGUGUGACCAAGACUAGCUGUAUAACUUCCAGGACCCAGAGCAAUAUCAAUGCAGGGCCCCCUUUUUAAAAAUUAAGCAUUUCAAGACAGCAACAACAAAGCAUGAAACCAAGCAUGGGACCCUGCAGGGUGUGGGGCCCUGUGUGACUCAGCAAGUCGCACACCCACAAAGACUGUCCUGAGGGUGGCUAAGGUGACCCUCACAUGUGCUCUCACUGUGGCACGUCCCCUGCUGUGCCACGGCAUGCACUGUGGCACUUCACGUACUGUGUUUUGAUAGCAGCAGUUCUCGUCUGUAAGCUUGAUGAGGAGGAACCAGCAAGGAUGUGCCAGUAAGGAAGCUAGCACUAGAGUGUAGAGAGGGAGGGAGUCUGACGGAGGUCGCUCGGCCUCACCACCACGCGCUCUCCUCUCCUGCAGCUCCAGCCGUGAGUUGGGACAAGCGACGGAGGUUCUCCUAUGUACAGGAAGUCUUGUUUAAACUCCCAGGACUUUAGUUUCCUUCAGAUUCCAGCAAAUAUUUUAAUCAUAAGUUCUAAUAAAAGGAUACUGACUCUAAGGCUGGGGGGAAGAUGAAAUGAAAUCACAAGAAAUCAAAAAUGUAUCUUUGUCUUUUGAAAGCAGAAAGGUAAAAUUGGAGUGGGAGAAAUAAAUAAAAACAGGGUUCACAAAUAGGAUUUGAUUUUUAAACAGAACGUUUCUUAAUAUCUUCCAAGCAGAUGUCUUCCAGGGAAACAAGCUGUUGUUGAAGGAUGGGGUGUUAGUAUUGUCAGAUCGAUUGCUUAGCAAGACUUAACCUGAGAAAUUUCAUUUUCAUGAUGAUUAGUGAACAACAUGCUCUGUUCUUCUGGCUUCAUUAAUCCAGUAGAGUGUAGUCUGAAGAGAAGUUUUCUUCUAGAAAUUUUGUUUUAUCUACAUUAAAGAGAAGAGAAUAUUAAAGAUCUGUAUUUUUACAAUUUUUACACAGAUUGGUUUAACAAAGAGAAUAUCACAUGCAAGGAUUCUUUAGUU